Molecule: ribosomal RNA, 270 nt
Filed under: uncultured bacterium
Lineage: Bacteria
Description: partial 16S ribosomal RNA
Rfam family: Bacterial small subunit ribosomal RNA
Source: RNAcentral
AGCAAACGCUGGCGGCGUGCCUAAUACAUGCAAGUCGAACGAGGGAAGGCUCCGGCCGAGUACUAGUGGCGCACGGGUGAGUAAUACGUGGAUAAUCUUCCCUUAGGUGGGGAAUAACCAGUCGAAAGACUGGCUAAUACCCCAUAAGAUCACAGUAUCUGAGGAUGCUAGUGGUUAAAGGUUUUUUCGCCGUGAGGAUGAGUCCGCGUCCGAUUAGCUAGUUGGCGGGGUAAUGGCCCACCAAGGCGAUGAUCGGUAACUGGUCUGAGA